Molecule: long non-coding RNA, 383 nt
Filed under: Elaeis guineensis (African oil palm)
Lineage: Eukaryota; Viridiplantae; Streptophyta; Magnoliopsida; Arecales; Arecaceae
Description: long non-coding RNA (EGUI_LNC057980)
Source: RNAcentral
AAUUCAGAUUUCAACAUGACUAUUUUAUUAAACAAGUAACUUAACUUAUCCACAAUAAGUGGAAAUACAUUAAAGAAGAACAAGGUAGAACUGAUAAGCGUUGAAGCGCUUGUUGAGAUAGUCAUAGACUUAUAUCCCACAAAGUAGUGGUUUUCAUUAUUCUCUUCCUUAUCUGCAAUCAUUUAAUUUCUUGAGACUAUUUAACCCUCAGGAAAAGGGGAAAAAACCUGGAGACGGAAGUCAAAAUAUACCUCAGGUCAUCAAUAGGCAAAUUAAGUAGGUGUCAGUCCUCUGGAAUUCAUGCUUACUUUUGAUGGAGAUUACUUUUGGUUUGUAAAUAUCAGAUAUGGUGAGAGACCGAUCCAACCAACCGAGCAUGAUUG